AGGCGACGAUCAGUAGCUGGUCUGAGAGGACGACCAGCCACACUGGGACUGAGACACGGCCCAGACUCCUACGGGAGGCAGCAGUGGGGAAUUUUGGACAAUGGGCGAGCCUGAUCCAGCAUGCCGCGUGUGUGAAGAAGGCCUUCGGGUUGUAAAGCACUUUUGUCCGGAAAGAAAUCCUUGACCCUAAUACGGUCGGGGGAUGACGGUACCGGAAGAAUAAGCACCGGCUAACUACGUGCCAGCAGCCGCGGUAAUAA
RNAcentral lists this ribosomal RNA (260 nucleotides) under uncultured Burkholderia sp. RNAcentral's name for it is "partial 16S ribosomal RNA". It matches the Rfam family "Bacterial small subunit ribosomal RNA", at positions 271 to 526 of the family's 1533-position model. Lineage: Bacteria; Pseudomonadati; Pseudomonadota; Betaproteobacteria; Burkholderiales; Burkholderiaceae. The record is from RNAcentral.